Molecule: ribosomal RNA, 454 nt
Filed under: uncultured bacterium
Lineage: Bacteria
Description: partial 16S ribosomal RNA
Rfam family: Bacterial small subunit ribosomal RNA
Source: RNAcentral
GAUGAACGCUGACAGAAUGCUUAACACAUGCAAGUCAACUUGAACUUCGGUUUGGGUGGCGGACGGGUGAGUAACGCGUAACGAACUUGCCUCACAGAUAGGGACAACAUUUGGAAACGAAUGCUAAUACCUGAUAUUAUGAUUAUAUGGCAUCGUAUAAUUAUGAAAGCUAUAUGCGCUGUGAGAGAGCUUUGCGUCCCAUUAGCUAGUUGGAGAGGUAACGGCUCACCAAGGCGAUGAUGGGUAGCCGGCCUGAGAGGGUGAUCGGCCACAAGGGGACUGAGACACGGCCCGUACGCCUACGGGAGGCAGCAGUGGGGAAUAUUGGACAAUGGACCAAGAGUCUGAUCCAGCAAUUCUGUGUGCACGAUGAAGUUUUUCGGAAUGAAAAGGGCUUUCAGUUGGGAAGAAAAAAAUGACGGUACCAACAGAAGAAGUGACGGCUAAAUACGUG